UACGUAGGUCCCGAGCGUUGUCCGGAUUUAUUGGGCGUAAAGCGAGCGCAGGUGGUUUAUUAAGUCUGGUGUAAAAGGCAGUGGCUCAACCAUUGUAUGCAUUGGAAACUGGUAGACUUGAGUGUAGGAGAGGAGAGUGGAAUUCCAUGUGUAGCGGUGAAAUGCGUAGAUAUAUGGAGGAACACCGGUGGCGAAAGCGGCUCUCUGGCCUGUAACUGACACUGAGGCUCGAAAGCGUGGGGAGCAAACAGG
RNAcentral lists this ribosomal RNA (252 nucleotides) under uncultured bacterium. RNAcentral's name for it is "partial 16S ribosomal RNA". It matches the Rfam family "Bacterial small subunit ribosomal RNA", at positions 524 to 776 of the family's 1533-position model. The record is from RNAcentral. RNAcentral also lists the same sequence under 1 other name.